Molecule: ribosomal RNA, 253 nt
Filed under: uncultured bacterium
Lineage: Bacteria
Description: partial 16S ribosomal RNA
Rfam family: Bacterial small subunit ribosomal RNA
Source: RNAcentral
UACGGAGGGUGCAAGCGUUGCUCGGAAUUAUUGGGCGUAAAGGGCAGGUAGGUGGUCUUAUUUGUCUGGGGUGAAAGCCUUGAGCUUAACUCAAGAAGUGCCCCAGAAACGGUAAGACUAGAGUCCUGGAGAGGGUCGUGGAAUUCCCGGUGUAGCGGUGAAAUGCGUAGAGAUCGGGAGGAACAUCAGUUGCGAAGGCGGCUCUCUGGACCAGCACUGACACUGAGGCACGAAAGCGUGGGGAGCAAACAGG